This 250-nucleotide ribosomal RNA is filed under the name uncultured bacterium. RNAcentral's name for it is "partial 16S ribosomal RNA". It matches the Rfam family "Bacterial small subunit ribosomal RNA", at positions 524 to 773 of the family's 1533-position model. RNAcentral also lists the same sequence under 1 other name. The record is from RNAcentral.
UACGUAGGGGGCAAGCGUUGUCCGGAAUCAUUGGGCGUAAAGAGCGUGUAGGCGGCUUCGUAAGUCCGUUGUGAAAGUCCAGGGCUCAACCCUGGAAUGCCGAUGGAUACUGCGGAGCUAGAGUACGGAAGAGGCGAGUGGAAUUCCUGGUGUAGCGGUGAAAUGCGCAGAUAUCAGGAGGAACACCUAUGGCGAAGGCAGCUCGCUGGGACGUUACUGACGCUGAGACGCGAAAGCGUGGGGAGCAAAC